GUAGGGAAUUUUGCGCAAUGGACGAAAGUCUGACGCAGCAACUCCGCGUGAGGGAUGAAUGCCUUCGGGUUGUAAACCUCUGUUGAGUGGGAAGAAAGUGUUCUGUGUUAAUAUUGCAGGACAUUGACGGUACCAUUCGAGAAAGCUCCGGCUAACUACGUGCCAGCAGCCGCGGUAAUACGUAGGGAGCAAGCGUUGUUCGGAAUCACUGGGCGUAAAGGGAGCGUAGGUGGAAAGGUAAGUUAGGAGUGAAAUACGGCGGCUUAACCGUCGACUUGCUUUUAAAACUGCUUUUCUUGAGUAUUGGAGAGGAAGAUGGAAUUCCCGGUGUAGCGGUGGAAUGCGUAGAUAUCGGGAAGAACACCAGUUGCGAAGGCGGUCUUCUGGCCAAAUACUGACACUGAGGCUCGAAAGCUAGGGGAGCGAACAGGAUUAGAUACCCCGGUAGUCC
This 451-nucleotide ribosomal RNA is filed under the name uncultured bacterium. RNAcentral's name for it is "bacterial SSU rRNA". It matches the Rfam family "Bacterial small subunit ribosomal RNA", at positions 354 to 796 of the family's 1533-position model. The record is from RNAcentral.